RNAcentral lists this ribosomal RNA (913 nucleotides) under uncultured archaeon. Its description in RNAcentral is "bacterial SSU rRNA". It matches the Rfam family "Archaeal small subunit ribosomal RNA", at positions 1 to 922 of the family's 1478-position model. The record is from RNAcentral.
UUUCCGGUUGAUCCUGCCGGGAAGAUACCGCUAUCCGGGUUCGACUAAGACAUGCGAGUCGAGAGUCUUCGGGACUCGGCAAACUGCUCAGUAAUAUAUGAUUAACCUACCCUAUACUCAGGGAUAAUUGCGGGAAACUGCAGCUAAUACCUGAUAGGUAUUCCUUUCUGGAAUGAUGGAAUAUUCAAAGGUGACGGUAUAGGGUGGGAUCAUAUCUUAUCAGCCUGUUGGGGGUGUAACGGACCUCCAAAGCUAUAACGGGUACGGGCCAUGAGAGUGGAAGCCCGGAGAUGGAUUCUGAGACAUGAAUCCAGGCCCUACGGGACGCAGCAGUUACGAAAACUUCGCAAUGCUCUAGCGAGCGACGAGGGAACCUGGAGUGCUCAUGCUCUGCAUGAGCUUUUGUCCACUGCAAACAGGUGGAUGAAUAAGGGGUGGGUAAUACGAGUGCCAGCCGCCGCGGUAAUACUCGAGCCCCAAGUGGUAUCCACGAUUAAUGGGUCUAAAGCGUCCGUAGCCGGUUUAGUAAGUCCCUAGUGAAACCCUUUGGUAAACUGAAGGGCUUGCUGGGGAUACUACUGAACUUGGGACUGGGAGAGGGUAGACGUACUCCCGGGGGAGGGGUAAAAUCCUAUAAUCCUGGGGGGACGACCUGUGGCGAAGGCUUCUACCUAAAACGGGUUCGACGGUGAGGGACGAAACCUAGGGGAGCGAUCGGGAUUAGAUACCCCGGUAGUCCUAGGCGUAAACGAUGCCCGCUUGGUGUUGCAAACCUUUUGAGGGUUUGUAGUGCCGGAGCGUAGGUGUUAAGCGGGCCACCUGGGGAGUACGACCGCAAGGUUGAAACUUAAGGGAAUUGGCGGGGGAGCACACAAGGGGUGGAGGCUGCGGUUCAAUUGGAUUCAACGCCGGG